GACAGAGGGUGCAAACGUUGCUCGGAAUUACUGGGCGUAAAGCGCGUGUAGGUGGAUUGGUGUGUCAGAUGUGAAAGCCCUGGGCUCAACCCAGGAACUGCACCUGAAACUACCAGUCUUGAGUGGUGGAGAGGGAAGUGGAAUUCCUGGUGUAGAGGUGAAAUUCGUAGAUAUCAGGAGGAACACCGGUGGCGAAGGCGGCUUCCUGGACACUAACUGACGCUGAGACGCGAAAGCGUGGGGAGCAAACAGG
This 253-nucleotide ribosomal RNA is filed under the name uncultured bacterium. RNAcentral describes it as "partial 16S ribosomal RNA". It matches the Rfam family "Bacterial small subunit ribosomal RNA", at positions 524 to 776 of the family's 1533-position model. The record is from RNAcentral.